RNAcentral lists this ribosomal RNA (253 nucleotides) under uncultured bacterium. RNAcentral describes it as "partial 16S ribosomal RNA". It matches the Rfam family "Bacterial small subunit ribosomal RNA", at positions 524 to 776 of the family's 1533-position model. The record is from RNAcentral.
UACGUAGGUGGCAAGCGUUAUCCGGAAUUACUGGGCGUAAAGCGCACGCAGGAGGCUAUCUAAGAUUGACGUGAAAGCUUCUGGCUUAACUGGAAGAGGUCGUUGAUGACUGGAUGGCUUGAGACGAGGAGAGGGGUGCAGAAUUCCCGGUGGAGUGGUGGAAUGCGUAGAGAUCGGGAGGAAUACCAGUGGCGAAAGCGGCACCCUGGCCUUAGUCUGACGCUCAGGUGCGAAAGCGUGGGGAGCAAACGGG